This 510-nucleotide ribosomal RNA is filed under the name Triticum aestivum (bread wheat). RNAcentral's name for it is "partial small subunit ribosomal RNA". The record is from RNAcentral. Lineage: Eukaryota; Viridiplantae; Streptophyta; Magnoliopsida; Poales; Poaceae.
AUGGAUCACUGCCACGCAGACGUGGGGAGCGCUAUUGCGUACUUUGAGAAGAUGAGGGUCAAGGAUUCACAUUUCUACUGGAGAAUCAAGCUUGAUGACGAGGACUAGGUGGAGUUGUUCUGGAUUGACGGUGCGUCACACAGGGCCUAUGCAAAGUACAACUACUGGUUGUCAUUCGACACUACAUACAUGCCGAACAUGUACAAGAUGCCAUGUGGACCCUUCAUUGACAAUAAUAACCAUGGAUAAUCCAUCCAGUUCGAGUGCGGUUUCAUUCGCAACGAACUGAUCGAGAAAUUUGUGCUACUGUUUAACACAUUUUUGCAUCCAAUGGGUGCUAUUGUACAGAAAAACAUCAUCACGGAGCAAGACUUUACGACGAGGGCAACCAUUGAUAUGAUGGGGGGCUUGUCGAUGGGAAGUGGGCUUCUGCCUCACAUCAUGGCGCGUGUACCCCUAGGUAGGUCGUCCAGGCCCAUAUCUAGGCUCAACCCACAUUUGAGCAAAUGA